GCAGAGGACACGCCCACCCUGGUGCUCCACCCCUACCCCCACUGGCUCAUGUACAUCUGUUCAGAUGCAAAGGGUAAUUGCAGUGCAGGGGGCCAUGGACUUGGAGAACUCGAAGGGGCUUUGAAGCCACAGACUCCAAGUGUGGUCCCAAGACCAGCAGCGGUGGCAGCAUCUGGGAGGGUGACCAAUGCCCCCACUUUGCCCAGAUUGUCCAGGUUCAGCCCUGUAAAUCCAGGGUUCCGAGAAGUCCCUCAGUCCUACCCAAACCUGAGUUGGACCCCCAGGGCCUGACACCCUGGGCAUGGCGCUGAGCAUCCGUGGCCACCAGCCCUCCAGAGUCUGGUGCUCCUAGGAACCACUGCCCCACCCCUCAAAUGGGGAAACAGACCCCCAGGGAAGGGGAGCUGCUUGCCUCAACCCUAGGCAGCUGCUAAGGGGCUGAGCCAGGAGUCCAGUUAUUCAGCCUGUUAGCAGCAGAAGAAAGGUACUGAUAAGGACCCAGGCAAACUGCUGUGGUCAGUGGGCACUCGGUCAGCUAGAGAAGACGGGACAGCUGCCUUCAGAGAGGCUAGGAUCUCGCUGAGCCGGGAGCACCUGGCGAAGCAGCAAGGGGCUGGAGCGUCAGAAGCAAGGGCAGCCAGGCCAGGCCCUAAGGGAGGAGGCAGCAGGCAGGCAAUGAGGCCAAAGAGGAGAUGACCUUGCAGGCAGUUAGGAGGCUAAAGAAAAGACGUCCUUGGCUGAAGUGGGGCUUGGGGAGGCGCAGUCACCUCUUUGUACCCACAGACGUCUCUAGGACCCUAUGGCAGCGGUGAGUCCCACCCCAUCUGCAGUGUCUCUUCUCACAUGCUUUCACAGACCUUUGUCCCCACCGCUCCCUCUACCACAUCAGGGUAAAGUCAGCCAUGGGCAAUAGACUAUUCAAACAUGUACCUUCAAGAAGCUACAAGCACGGAGAGGUCAAGUAACUUGCCCAAAGACACACAGUGGAGAAAUGACAAGGCCCGGUUGCACAUCUAGGCAUCUGGUUCCAAACUGCUUCUGACACUUCUUUAGGGCCCUGUGUCCAGUGGGGGUGCAGUGGGGGAAGGAGCCCUGAACGGGGUGGGGGGGGGGCAGGAAACUGCCACCGCCAAUUAGUCAUGUGACUCGAGAGAGAGAUCAUUUAAUGACGUCUGUCUUAACCCCGACGUAUGCGAACUUCCGCAUCCCUUCUGAAAGACGUUAAAUUAAGUGAGCCCCGAGGUUCCCGCUGGCCCCGACGCUCUGUGUUCUGUCUUCUCGGCCACCGAUGGCUGAAACCUUACCCUUAGAGAUGUGUUUCUUUUUGUUAAACGCUGUCGUCUGUCAUCUGCCUGAACGCCUCCUUUUUUGGUUUGGCCAUACCUGUUGCAGGCAGAAGUUCCCAGGCCAGGAAUCAAACCUGAGCCACAGCAGUGACAAUAUGCCCAAUCCUUAACCACUAGGCCAUCAGGGAGCUCCUGAAUGUCCCUUUUAAAAAUACACUUUCCUUCAGAGGAUCCUGACUUGUUGGUUGAGGGUCUAGAGAAGGUUCUGGUGUGUGAGCCCAGUGGGCUCCGGUUGGGAGCGGAGGGCCAGGCAAAGGGAGAAGAGAUGCAGACGGGAGAGGCUGGGCCCUAAACAGUCAAUUUACCUGCAGCCCAGUGGCCGGAGCAUCCCUUGUCAGGGCUUCCCGUGUAAUAGCUCCCUGUCCAGCAGCCUGCCAACCCCAUCUAUCACCGUUUUUUUAGACUUUUUUUUAUAGGCUUCCUUUUUUCUCCUUCUGUAUUUUUUUUCCCCACCACCCUAUCUCUCCGACUCCAUCAGAGAAAAAUGGGUUUUGUCUUUUUUUAACAAGAAGACAAAGUCUUAAAUUACCUUCUUCAAGGUCUGCAAAUAGAAAUCCCAAAUAAGACAGCCACCUCUUCUUUUCUCCCUUCCUCUCUCCCUGUCUCAGGAGCCCGUGAGCUUGAAAUAAAACACAGAGCAGUGGCCCGGGAGGAAGUAAUCUGGGCUGGGCGGCACCAGCCGUGGCGAGGGGGUCGGGGGGAGGGGAAGGGCCCGGCUGGAUGGGGGGGGGGAAUGGGGGGGGAGGGGAUGGAGGGGGGCAGAACCAAGGCCUCCUUGCUCUGGGUCUGGAAUAAAAAGGGUCCCCCCAGGAGGUCCCCCUGUGGCACAAGGAAAUCGGUGGCAUCUCUGCAGCACCAGGAAGUAGGUUCAAUCCCUGGCCCUGGCUUAGUGGGUUAAAGGCUCUGGCAUUGCUGCAGCUGUGGAUCCAACCUGAUCCCUGGUACCUGGAACUCCACAUGCUGUGGGCAGGUCAAAAAAAAAAAAAAAAAAAAACUGUCCACCAAGGGGGGGUGGGGGGCUCCUUAAGGAGCAGCUACAGUGCACACCUGCAUGCAUGCAGGUGUUCAGGGGACAAGGAGCCCGGGGAGAGAAGGGCCUGCAGAAGCUGCUGCUGGGAUUCAGCUGCAGACAGGAUCACGGGGUACAGUGAACCUUCACCUUCUCACCCCACUGACGUCAUGGUUCCCCGAAAGCAGGCAUCAGGACAGGGGGAAGGAGCACAGUUCUGGGACAAAGACUAGGGCUGGAGUUCUGGUUCUAAUCCCCGCCACAUGUAAUAAUAGUAGCCAGUGGUUUUGAGCCCUCACCCUGUGCCGGGGACUGGGGUCAGCCCCUCGCGUAGAGCAUCCCAUUUAACCUGCAGGACAGCCCUGCCCUUGGCAUCAUCAUUUUCUCCGUGAUGAUGGGGGCCCUGAGCAUGAGAGGUCACAGAACUACCCCUGUUCUCACAGAUCUGGUGACAGAUCAGGAUCUGAACCCAGGGCGUCAGACUGCAGGGCUCCUGUUUUCCUCCUGCUGAACCGCUCAGCCUGCUGACCUGCUUCCUCCUUAGGAAUGUUGAAGUGCAGGAGAUGGCCUGGGGAUUGUCAAGGCCUUUCCCAACACGGAUGCUCUGAUUUGGGGCUCAAGCCUCAUCUGGGCCUAUAGAGAUCCUGUUCAAAGAUGCAGGGUUCCACUGCGAAGCAGGCACACAGAGUAGGGGGUAGGGGGCGGUGUAUAGGGCAGGUGAACUUGUGUCCUGCAACCCUAAUGCCUCAGGGAGAAAACAAGAACACAACAGGACACUACAAAGUCAGUAGGAAGGCCUGUAGGUUGGACUUGCAUUGAAAAGUCCAAACCAGAAUUCCCGUCACGGCUCAGCGGAAACAAAUCUGACUAGCAUCCAUGACAACACAGGUUCGAUCCCUGGCCUCGCUCAGUGGGUUAAGGAUCCGGGCUACAGCUCCGAUUGGACCCCUAGCCUAGGAACCUCCAUAUGCCAUGAGAGCAACCCUAAAAAAAAAAAAAGAAAAAAA
RNAcentral lists this long non-coding RNA (3362 nucleotides) under Sus scrofa (pig). RNAcentral describes it as "lncRNA (ENSSSCG00055006224.1)". Lineage: Eukaryota; Metazoa; Chordata; Mammalia; Artiodactyla; Suidae. The record is from RNAcentral.